This 438-nucleotide ribosomal RNA is filed under the name uncultured bacterium. RNAcentral describes it as "bacterial SSU rRNA". It matches the Rfam family "Bacterial small subunit ribosomal RNA", at positions 338 to 795 of the family's 1533-position model. The record is from RNAcentral.
CCUACGGGAUGCACCAGUGGGGAAUAUUGGACAAUGGGCGAAAGCCUGAUCCAGCAAUGCCGCGUGUGUGAUGAAGGUCUUCGGAUUGUAAAGCACUUUCGACGGGGACGAUGAUGACGGUACCCGUAGAAGAAGCCACGGCUAACUUCGUGCCAGCAGCCGCGGUAAUACGGAGGGUGCUAGCGUUGCUCGGAAUGACUGGGCGUAAAGGGCGCGUAGGCGGUGAAUCGGGUUGAAAGUGAAAGUCGCCAAAAACUGGCGGAAGACUCUCGAAACCAAUUCACUUGAGUGAGACAGAGGAGAGUGGAAUUUCGUGUGUAGGGGUGAAAUCCGGAGAUCUACGAAGGAACGCCAAAAGCGAAGGCAGCUCUCUGGGUCCCUACCGACGCUGGAGUGCGAAAGCAUGGGGGGCGAACGGGAUUAGAUACCCGGGUAGUC